This 474-nucleotide ribosomal RNA is filed under the name uncultured bacterium. Its description in RNAcentral is "partial 16S ribosomal RNA". It matches the Rfam family "Bacterial small subunit ribosomal RNA", at positions 28 to 523 of the family's 1533-position model. The record is from RNAcentral.
GACGAACGCUGGCGGCGUGCUUAACACAUGCAAGUCGAGCGAUGAAGCACCUUCGGGUGUGAAUUAGAGGCGAACGGGUGAGGAACACGUGAAGAAUCUGCCUUCAACUCUAGGAUAACUCCGGGAAACCGGGGCUAAUACCGGAUAUGAGCCUUGAUCGCAUGAUCGGGGCUGGAAAGUUUUUCGGUUGAAGAUGACUUCGCGGCCUAUCAGGUUGUUGGUGAGGUAAUGGCGCACCAAGGCGACGACGGGUAGCCGGCCUGAGAGGGCGACCGGCCACACUGGGACUGAGACACGGCCCAGACUCCUACGGGAGGCAGCAGUGGGGAAUAUUGGGCAAUGGAGGAAACUCUGACCCAGCGACGCCGCGUGAGGGAUGAAGGCCUUCGGAGUGUAAACUGCUUUUAAUAGGGAAGAUUAUGACGGUACCUAUAGAAUAAGGACCGGCUAACUACGUGCCAGCCGCCGCGGUAA